AUGAGCCAGGGCCAGCCUCGGAGGCCCGAGGGCGGGGAGGCCAUGCAGGCCGACCGGCCAAUCAAGUACGGCGACGUGUUCGACGUCUCCGGGGUGCUGGCGGCGCAGCCCGUGGCGCCCAGGGACGCGGCGAUGCUGCAGUCCGCCGAGAACGAGGUGCUGGGGCUGGGGCAGACGCAGAAGGGCGGGCCCGCGGCCGUCAUGCAGUCGGCCGCCACGCUCAACGCGCGCGCCGGCCACGUCGGCCGCGGCCAGCUCACGGGCCCCGUCGCUGACGCGGGCGUCACCGUCACCGAGGCCGACCUGCCCGGCCGCCGCGUCAUCACCGAGUCCGUCGCCGGGCAGGUCGUGGGCCGGUUCGUCGCGCCCGCGCCGGUGACGGCCACCGAGCCAUCGGGCGCGCUGGACCAGGACGCCGUGACCAUCGGGCGCGCGCUGGAGGCCGUCGCGGCGGCCGGCGCGGGGGCGAAGCCGGUGGACCAGAGUGACUCGGCGGCCGUCCAGGCGGCCGAGAUGCGCGCCACGGGGUCCAACCUCACCGUCCCGGGGGGCAUCGCCGCGGCUGUGCAGGCGGCCGCCGACCAGAACGAGCGCGCCGCGCGCGAGGAGGACAAGGUCAAGCUCCGGGACGUCCUCUCGGACGCGAGGAGCAAGCUGCCGGCGGACAAGGGGGCGACGAGGGAGGACGCGGAGAGGGUCGUGUCGGCGGAGAUGCGGAACAAGCUGGACCUGACGACCACGCCGGGCGGCGUGGCGGAGGCGGUGACCACGGCGGCGCGGCUCAACCAGGAGCGCCCGUAG
RNAcentral lists this ribosomal RNA (801 nucleotides) under Triticum aestivum (bread wheat). RNAcentral's name for it is "partial small subunit ribosomal RNA". The record is from RNAcentral. Lineage: Eukaryota; Viridiplantae; Streptophyta; Magnoliopsida; Poales; Poaceae.